AUAUUGACUUUGAUGGAGAGAGUAGAAGUUUGAUUGUUUCAUAGAGAGAGAAAAUUACAGCUGAAAAUUUUCUUAAAUUAAUCGUGUUUUGAAGUUCACUCCGGAGUCCCAAGUGUGAACAAGAGUAGCAGUUGGCGUAUUAGAUCGUUAAAUCUAUUUAAGAGGAUAUUUAAAAAAUAUCAAUUUGGGUGGUACCACGGAUAGUUAUAGUUCGUCCUAUGU
This 222-nucleotide non-coding RNA is filed under the name Clostridium tyrobutyricum. RNAcentral's name for it is "T-box sequence". It matches the Rfam family "T-box leader". Rfam says of the family: Uncharged tRNA acts as the effector for transcription antitermination of genes in the T-box leader family. Lineage: Bacteria; Bacillati; Bacillota; Clostridia; Eubacteriales; Clostridiaceae. The record is from RNAcentral.